GGGGAGAUAGCUCAGUGGUUAAGAGCACUGGCUGCUCUUCCAGAGGACCUGAGUUUGAUUCUCNGCACCCCCA
RNAcentral lists this transfer RNA (73 nucleotides) under Neotoma lepida (desert woodrat). It matches the Rfam family "tRNA". Rfam says of the family: Transfer RNA (tRNA) molecules are approximately 80 nucleotides in length. Their secondary structure includes four short double-helical elements and three loops (D, anti-codon, and T loops). Further hydrogen bonds mediate the characteristic L-shaped molecular structure. tRNAs have two regions of fundamental functional importance: the anti-codon, which is responsible for specific mRNA codon recognition, and the 3' end, to which the tRNAs corresponding amino acid is attached (by aminoacyl-tRNA synthetases). tRNAs cope with the degeneracy of the genetic code in two manners: having more than one tRNA (with a specific anti-codon) for a particular amino acid; and 'wobble' base-pairing, i.e. permitting non-standard base-pairing at the 3rd anti-codon position. Lineage: Eukaryota; Metazoa; Chordata; Mammalia; Rodentia; Cricetidae. The record is from Rfam by way of RNAcentral.